CAAGUUAAUAAAUUCCUCUCACCAGAGUAUCGAGAAACAUAUUUCUUCCUUUCAAAAUACUGCAGUGAACUAGUUCCUACUGUAAAAGACAAGCAUAAGUCUUAUUUUCCCACUGGAAUUUUGAAUGCAUUAAUUUGCUAUUCACCCAGGAAUCACCUCCAGUUUUGCACCUUCCACUCUAUUUUUUCAAGUAGAAAUGUGAAACAUUUGCAAUAAAUACAUGCCAAAAAGUCAGUUUAUUGUUGUUAAAAUAAAUGGAAAGCUACAUUUCAUCACUUAUUGACAUGUUUCUUACUGUCAUAGAAUUCAGAAAAUUACAUAUUUGUGAUCAAACCUAGACAUGCUCUCCAGAUUUAUAUGCCAAAUACAAUCUCUUCCAAUUUCAACUAAAGUCAACACAUUUAAUACAGUGCACGCAAUUCUAAUUAUUCUUCCACUGUAGCAAGACAAAUACAAGCUAAAAUGCAAAUUAGUUGCUAAACAUACAGCCCAAACCUGCACCCAGAACUUCUAUUAGAUCACUCUAGAGAGAAAUUUAUAGAUCAAGUUAGCUGACUAGUAAUUUACUGAUUUUAAUUUUUUAUGGGUUAAUUUUGCCAAGACCAGGAACACAUCUGUUUCAGUUAAUUCAAGGCAGGAUUUUCAGAAUGUGCCACAGACAAAAAGACUACUCAGUGUGGAAGAAUGAUACUCAAACUUGAGCAGCUGAUUUCAGUACUUUAAAGAAUAAAUCCUUGGAAGAAAAUUACAGAUACAGAGAAAGAAAAAAAGAAAACUUGUUUACAUCUUCUCUUUCUGCUCUUGACAGUGUUUUGCUUAAGUGUGCCAGGAAGCAGAAUGAGCAGGCUUCUUUACAGUGGGGGCUGAACUGGGAGCUGAGAGUGACUCAUGCCCUCCUUGGUGGGGCAUCAUCUGGGCCACCAGUGAUUGCAGAGUCUGCCUGUCUGUCCAAGGAUCAUCACAUCCUUUAUUACCAUCAUUUAGGAAAGAAAGAGAGAAGAAUGUAUGGUAAGAUAUUGUUCCCCUGUGGGAAAUGGAAAAAUGGAAAAUUCCACAGAUGCUGAAGGGUUCAAUCUGCAGCCAUAGAAAGAGCUUGGGUUAAUGUAAAGAUAAAG
This 1115-nucleotide long non-coding RNA is filed under the name Cyanistes caeruleus (blue tit). RNAcentral's name for it is "lncRNA (ENSCCEG00000014126.1)". The record is from RNAcentral. Lineage: Eukaryota; Metazoa; Chordata; Aves; Passeriformes; Paridae.